ACAAAUCUAAAAGAGGGGGGGCGACCUCCUACUUUAACCAAUGUGAAUAGCGCCGUACGCGGCGACGUAAGCACUUUUUAGAGUCGGAUAUAAAAAAGCUAAUUAAA
RNAcentral lists this unclassified non-coding RNA (107 nucleotides) under uncultured fungus. Its description in RNAcentral is "sequence contains ITS1". The record is from RNAcentral. Lineage: Eukaryota; Fungi.